Limulus polyphemus (Atlantic horseshoe crab) is the source of this 982-nucleotide long non-coding RNA. RefSeq lists it as uncharacterized. The transcript is spliced from 4 exons. Lineage: Eukaryota; Metazoa; Arthropoda; Merostomata; Xiphosura; Limulidae. The record is from RefSeq and is a predicted model, not a curated record.
AAAAAAAAAUAGAAAUUGUUUUUACACUUAUUAAGAUAAGAUAAAAGCUAACACUAUUGUUGAGGUUGUAAAUGAUCAUGAAUCAGUUUUCCAGACAAUUUUUUUUUGGGAUAGCUGAAUUACUUAGCUGUAGAACCAGAUCCUGAAGUAACGUUUAUCAAACUUUGCAAAUUGGCCACCAUUGAAGAAAACUUUGAUUCUGAAAAUGAUGAUAUCGAAAUUCUUGUUCCAGUCUCGGUUACACUUCAGGUCCUAUCCUUUGGACAUGCCAUUUAUAACUGCACAAACUCUCUUCAGGUAUCCCAACUGAAAUUUCUGGAGAAAGAAUUGCAGUCUGCAUACCACUCCUUAGGCAGUGAUCAUUACCCUGACCAGUGUGUCCCCUUAAAAAUCCUCCUUGAUCAUCCUAUUAUUCAAGAUAAUAUAAGGAAAGCUAGGAUACUGUCUUUAUCUGACUUGUCAGCAGCUGUGCAUUCUGCAUUAUUGUGAUCAUCACUGGACUUCAUUGAAUAAAGGAAUUCAUUUGUCUGAAAGCAAAUAGUUAAGGAAAAUAUUGUCUUGGUUACCAACACACAACUGAAUUCACUAUAUGCUUACGAAGGUACAAGUUUUUACAAUUAACAUUUAAAAGAUAAAUACUGACUGCUUUCAUAUUCAGAGUAAAAUAAUUUUAAACUGUUUUUGUUGUUUUAGCCUUCAAUGGUUUUUGUUUCUUUAGGUAAGACGAAAAUUCAUAAUGCAAUAACAAUGUGUUGCAUAUUUAUCAUUUAUAGUGUUUAAUUUUAAAUUCUGUUUUAAAUUUUCUUUUUAACAAUUAGAAAAAUUGUCUUUACAAAAUAUUUUCUCAGUUUAAACAUCAGAAAAGAAUUGUAAAGUGUAAUACAUUUAACAUUCAAACAUCAAAGUGUUUAACAAAAGCAAUAGGAAUGUAUUUGAAAAUAAAAAUGAGAAAGUUAAGGGCCGAAGUUUCAAUAAAUUAUAU